CCAACAGGGAUUGCCUCAGUAACGGCGAGUGAAGCGGCAACAGCUCAAAUUUGAAAUCUGGCCCCGACCCGGGGUCCGAGUUGUAAUUUGCAGAGGAUGCCUCGGGCGCGGUACCGGCUUAAGUCCCUAGGAACAGGGCGUCAUAGAGGGUGAGAACCCCGUAUGCGGCCGGCCACCAACCCCGUAUGAGGUUCCUUCGACGAGUCGAGUUGUUUGGGAAUGCAGCUCAAAACGGGUGGUAAAUUCCAUCUAAAGCUAAAUACCUGCCAGAGACCGAUAGCGCACAAGUAGAGUGAUCGAAAGGUGAAAAGCACUUUGGAAAGAGAGUCAAACAGUACGUGAAAUUGUUGAAAGGGAAGCGCUUGCGACCAGAGCUGUCCGGCGACGUUCGGCGGGGGUUCUCCCCCGUGCAUUCGCCGCCGGGCAGGCCAGCAUCGGUUCCAGCGGCCGGAAAAAGGUCUCGGGAAUGUAGCUCCUCCCGGGGAGUGUUUUAUAGCCCCUGAUGACAUACGGCCAGCGGGGACCGAGGACCGCGCCUCCGGGCAAGGAUGCUGGCGUAAUGGACGUAAGCGGCCCGUCUUGAAACACGGACCAAGGAGUCUAACAUCUAUGCGAGUGUUUGGGCGUCAAACCCAUGCGCGCAAUGAAAGUGAACGAAGGUGGGAACCCUCUAGGGCGCACCAUCGACCGAUCCCGAAGUUUACGGAAGGAUUUGAGUAUGAGCAUAGACGUUGGGACCCGAAAGAUGGUGAACUAUACCUGAAUAGGGUGAAGCCAGAGGAAACUCUGGUGGAGGCUCGCAGCGGUUCUGACGUGCAAAUCGAUCGUCAAAUUUGGGUAUAGGGGCGAAAGACUAAUCGAACCAUCUAGUAGCUGGUUCCUGCCGAAGUUUCCCUCAGGAUA
This 903-nucleotide ribosomal RNA is filed under the name Thalloidima sedifolium. Its description in RNAcentral is "eukaryotic LSU rRNA". It matches the Rfam family "Eukaryotic large subunit ribosomal RNA", at positions 65 to 980 of the family's 3401-position model. Lineage: Eukaryota; Fungi; Ascomycota; Lecanoromycetes; Lecanorales; Ramalinaceae. The record is from RNAcentral.